Molecule: ribosomal RNA, 383 nt
Filed under: uncultured bacterium
Lineage: Bacteria
Description: bacterial SSU rRNA
Rfam family: Bacterial small subunit ribosomal RNA
Source: RNAcentral
UAAUACAGAGACCUCAAGCGUUAUCCGGAAUCAUUGGGCGUAAAGCGUUCCGAUAGGUGGUUUACUAAGUUUUGGGUAAAAGCCAGAAGCUCAACUUCUGCGUUUGCUCAAGAUACUGGUAGACUAGAGGGAGAAAGAGGUGGCUGGAACCAACGGUGUAGUAGUGAAAUGCGUUGAUAUCGUUGGGAACACCGAAAGCGAAGGCAGGCCACUGGGUCUCACCUGACACUGCUAGGACGAAAGCGUGGGGAGCGAAUGGGAUUAGAUACCCCAGUAGUCCACGCUGUAAACGAUGAGUGCUAGGAAUGCGCGAGUAUCGACCCUCGUGCGAUCCGUAGCUAACGCGUUAAGCACUCCGCCUGGGGAGUACGGUCGCAAGACUA